UAAACAAGGUGAUUUUGAAAUGGUGAAGGUACUAUUGGAGGCAUUUCCUCAGCUGUCAGUUACAUUUGAUCAGUCAAAUUCCACAGCAUUGCACACUGCAUCAGCACAAGGUCACAUUGAUGUUGUCAAUUUCCUCUUGGAGACUAAUAGCAGUUUAGCCACCAUACCGAAGAAUAAUGGGAAGACGGCGCUUCAUUCUUCAGCAAGAAAUGGUCAUGUUGCAGUUGUGAAGGCACUUCUAAG
This 243-nucleotide unclassified non-coding RNA is filed under the name Hevea brasiliensis (rubber tree). The record is from RNAcentral. Lineage: Eukaryota; Viridiplantae; Streptophyta; Magnoliopsida; Malpighiales; Euphorbiaceae.